GGAUCAUUACCUAGAGUUGCGGGCUUUGCCUGCUAUCUCUUACCCAUGUCUUUUGAGUACCUUCGUUUCCUCGGCGGGUUCGCCCGCCGAUUGGACACUUUAAACCAUUUGCAGUUGCAAUCAGCGUCUGAAAAAACAUAAUAGUUACAACUUUCAACAACGGAUCUCUUGGUUCUGGCAUCGAUGAAGAACGCAGCGAAAUGCGAUAAGUAGUGUGAAUUGCAGAAUUCAGUGAAUCAUCGAAUCUUUGAACGCACAUUGCGCCCCUUGGUAUUCCAUGGGGCAUGCCUGUUCGAGCGUCAUUUGUACCUUCAAGCCUUGCUUGGUGUUGGGUGUUUGUCUCGCCUCUGCGUGUAGACUCGCCUCAAAACAAUUGGCAGCCGGCGUAUUGAUUUCGGAGCGCAGUACAUCUCGCGCUUUGCAUUCAGAACGACGACGUCCAAAAGUACAUUUUUACACUCUUGACCUC
This 469-nucleotide ribosomal RNA is filed under the name Phoma sp. EXP0405F. Its description in RNAcentral is "eukaryotic LSU rRNA". The stretch from base 149 to 302 matches the Rfam family "5.8S ribosomal RNA". The record is from RNAcentral. Lineage: Eukaryota; Fungi; Ascomycota; Dothideomycetes; Pleosporales; Didymellaceae.